AAAGUUUGACUAGACGGGCAGGAAAACUAAGGCUAGCAUCGCACCAAUCUCGAAGCGCGAGCUACCCCCAUUCCCAGGCCGCCGGCAGGCCCCAUCGCCGGUGCCGUUUCUCCGCCGCCGCCACCGGACUUGGCCAGGGAGAAGGCGUCAGGUCGAUCUCCGCGAGGUUCUACCAUCACGCAAUCCUGCCUUGCCUCUGGAUCAGCAGCUUAAAGUACGAGUAAGCUGAUGGAAGCUGAAAGAAGCCAGCUCAGUCAAAUCGACCCAAGAAGAGCCCGCUUUCCUUGCUGCAUAGUAUGGACUCCCAUACCUUUCAUCACAUGGCUGGUACCGUUUAUCGGUCAUAUUGGCAUUUGCAGAGAAGAUGGUGUAAUCCUGGACUUUGCUGGUCCAAAUUUCGUGUCAGUUGAUAACUUUGCUUUUGGAGCUGUUGCACGCUACAUUCAAGUAAAUGGCGAUGAGCGCUACAAGCUUCUUGGCACUCAAGUAGAGGCGACAUGGGACGAUGCUCUGAAGAAAGGUGUGCAGGAGUUCCAGAACAGGAGCUACAACCUGUUCACCUGCAACUGCCACUCCUUCGUCGCGAACAACCUGAACCGGCUCUUCUACUCCGGCCACGACAAGUGGAAUGUGGUCAGCCUGGCUGCUGUGAUGUUCCUGCGGGGCCGCUGGGUGAGCACCGCGUCUGUGGUCAAGACCUUCGCGCCUUUCGCCGUGGUGCUCACUCUCGGGGGUCUCCUUGGCGGCAUGACGUUCCUGGUGGGCCUGCUUGCUUUUGCGGCCGCUAUGACCGGAUGGUUCCUUGUUGGCACCUACUGCAUCAAGAGUCUUAUAGAGUUGUAACUGGAAUGUAGCGGGCCUGGGUUUGGAUUCGGGACUUGGGGUUCUCCUUGUGAUUAAUGACCAUAUUGAUCUGGAGGUUCUAUGUGUGCCGCGGCUGUCUGCUUGUUCUGGUCUUCAGCUCAGGUAGGUACAUAUAAAUCAUGGUGGUCUUUGGCCUAACCCAAAAGUUUACGCUGAACAUUCUCAAACGUCUUAUAAUAUGGAACCGUCUGAUAGAAAACAACAUUCUGGGUCUUGCUUUUCCGAUGAAUUGUGUAACUACUAUUUGUUUGAUUAUCUUGCAAGACAAACUGCUAUGACUGGGGCGUGGGAUUUGUUCCUCUCCCUUCUCCAUCACAUUCUGUGUUCAGAAAUUCCUGCAAAAUUCCAUACUGUAGUUCAGAGAAUCUGGCGUGGAGGUCCAGGAUAUAAAAAGGCCGAAACUCAACCCGUGCUUAUAGACUUGAGUAUACUCGAUCUGUUAUUAUUUA
This is an RNA transcript of Lolium perenne, 1313 nucleotides long. It is a transcript of the gene named protein RTE1-HOMOLOG, with no coding region annotated. The record is from RefSeq and is a predicted model, not a curated record. NCBI's taxonomy places the organism in Eukaryota, Viridiplantae, Streptophyta, Magnoliopsida, Poales, Poaceae.